GGGGUUAUGGAUCAGUGGUAGAUCGCUUGCCUAGUGCGUGUGAGGCCCUGAGUUUGAUCCUCAGUACCACUU
This 72-nucleotide transfer RNA is filed under the name Ictidomys tridecemlineatus (thirteen-lined ground squirrel). RNAcentral's name for it is "Spermophilus tridecemlineatus (thirteen-lined ground squirrel) tRNA". It matches the Rfam family "tRNA". Rfam says of the family: Transfer RNA (tRNA) molecules are approximately 80 nucleotides in length. Their secondary structure includes four short double-helical elements and three loops (D, anti-codon, and T loops). Lineage: Eukaryota; Metazoa; Chordata; Mammalia; Rodentia; Sciuridae. The record is from Rfam by way of RNAcentral.